Molecule: ribosomal RNA, 342 nt
Filed under: Nodicornis nodicornis
Lineage: Eukaryota; Metazoa; Arthropoda; Insecta; Diptera; Dolichopodidae
Description: partial 12S ribosomal RNA
Source: RNAcentral
AAAAAUUGUAUAAUCUAUAGACCUGAGUAGUAUUAGUUAGGGGCUUGAAACUCAAAAAAUUUGGCGGUAUUUUAGUCUAUUUAGAGGAACCUGUAAUGUAAUCGAUAAUCCACGAUGGACCUUACUUAAUUUUGUAUUUCAGUUUGUAUACCGCUGUUAUUUGAAAAUUUUAUAAGAAUAUUAAUUUUCAUAAUUUUAAAUUAAAAAGUAAAUCAGGUCAAGGUGCAGCUUAUGAUUAAGUAUUUAUGGGUUACAAUGAAUUUAUUUAUACGGAUCAAGAUUUGAAAAUUGUUUUGUGAAGGCGGAUUUAAUAGUAAAUUUUUAAAGAUAAAAGUAUUGAUU